Long non-coding RNA from Oncorhynchus tshawytscha (Chinook salmon), 3855 nucleotides. Lineage: Eukaryota; Metazoa; Chordata; Actinopteri; Salmoniformes; Salmonidae. The record is from Ensembl.
AAGCGUUAGAGUGCCGAGGCCUUAGCGUGCCGAGGCCUUAGCGUGCCUUAGCGUUAGACUGCCGAGGCCUUAGCGUGCUGAGGUGUUAAAGUGCCGAGGCCUUAGCGUGCCGAGGCGUUAGAGUGCCGAGGCCUUAGCGUGCCGAGGCGUUAGACUGCCGAGGCCUUAGCGUGCCGAGGCGUUAGAGUGCCGAGGCCUUAGCGUGCCGAGGCGUUAGACUGACGAGGAGUUAGACUGCCGAGGUGUUGAAGUACCAAGCAAUAGCCUGCCGAGGCCUUAGUGUAGCGGGGUCUUAGCGUGCCUAGGCCUUAGUGUGCCGAGCCCUUAGCGUGCCAAAGCCUUACCAUGCCGAUGCGUUAGAGUGCCGAGGCCUUAGCGUGCCGAGGCGUUAGUGUGCCGAGGCCUUAGUGUGCCGAGGCCUUAGCGUGCCGAGGCCUUAGCGUGCCGAGGCCUUAGCGUGCCGAGGCCUUAGAGUGCCGAGGCCUUAGACUGCCGAGGCCUUAGCGUGCCGAGGUGUUAGAGUGCCGAGGCGUUAGAGUGCCGAGGCAUUAGACUGCCGAGGCCUUAGCGUGCCGAGGUGUUAGAGUGCCGAGGCCUUAGCGUGCCGAGGUAUUAGCAUGCCGAGGCCUUAGCGUGCCGAAGCGUUAGAGUGCCGAGGCCUUAGCGUGCCGAGGCCUUAGCGUGCCUUAGCGUUAGACUGCCGAGGCCUUAGCGUGCUGAGGUGUUAAAGUGCCGAGGCCUUAGCGUGCCGAGGUGUUAGACUGCCGAGGCCUUAGUGUGCCGAGGUGUUAGAGUGCCGAGGCCUUAGCGUGCCGAGGCGUUAGAGUGCCAAAGCCUUAGCGUGCCGAGGAGUUAGAGUGCCAAAGCCUUAGCGGGCCAAGGCCUUAGCGUGCCGAGGAGUUAGAGUGCCAAAGCCUUAGCGUGCCGAGGCGUUAGAGUGCCAAAGCCUUAGCGUGCCGAGGAGUUAGAGUGCCAAAGCCUUAGCGUGCCGAGGAGUUAGAGUGCCAAAGCCUUAGCGUGCCGAGGAGUUAGAGUGCCAAAGCCUUAGCGUGCCGAGGCCUUAGCGUGCCGAGGCGUUAGAGUGCCGAGGCCUUAGCGUGCCGAGGCGUCAGUGUGCCGAGGCCUUAACGUGCCGAGGUGUUAGAGUGCCGAGGCCUUAGCGUGCCGAGGUGUUAGAGUGCCGAGGCCUUAGCGUGCCGAGGCCUUAGCGUGAUGGGGUCUUAGCGUGUCAAGACCUUAGCGUGAUGGGGUCUUAGCGUGUCAAGACCUUAGCGUGACGGGGUCAUAGCGUGUUGAGACCUUAGCGUGACGGGGUCUUAGCGUGUCGAGACCUUAGCGUGACGGGGCCUUCGCGUGCCGUGGCCUUAGUGUGCUGAGGCUUUAGCGUGUCGAGGCCUUUGCCACUUCACACCUCGCUGGCUGGAGAUGUCUGGAUUUAUUUUUGGAACGCUACGUUUGAAGGGAAAUAAAUAAAGCCCAUGAGAUACACUUCCUUUCUGCUGCAUGUCUGAGUUUUCACCACUAGUCUCAGUCUCACGGUUGGUGUUUGCUCUGGGUGAGAGAGAGAAGUAUAGGUUUUAUGUCAACAUGAGUUUAUAUUUGUUUGAUUAUGUGUUUAUUUUAAUGCUAGUGUGUUUCUGUACUCUGGUCUGCUGAUUGGGUUUCUUUGUGGGCCUUUGUUUGGUUUUGUGGAUAUGUGUUAGUUUAUUUGUUAAAACCUGUUCUGUCUGUUCUAUCUGUCUGUCUGUCUGUCUGUCUGUCUGUCUGUCUGUCUGUCUGUCUGUCUGUCUGUCUGUUAUAUCUGUCUGUCUGUCUGUCUGUCUGUCUGUCUGUCUGUCUGUGUCUGUCUGUCUGUCUGUGUUGAGGCAUUAUGGUCAGAGGACAGAUCCAGCCGACCCACCACAGGCAUUACUACAGGUAUUGUGUGGUGACAUGACAUGGCCAGUUUGAGGCAUGCAGACACUGAGCCAGAGAGCUUUCACUGAGUGUUGUUACCCCCUCACACAGACAUGCAGACUGACAGAGACACACACAGGCAUGCAGACAGACACAGACACACACAGGCAUGCAGACAGACACAGACACACACAGGCAUGCAGACUGACACAGAGACAUACUGAUCAGUAGGCAUGUUGCCAGGCAGACACAGAAACUAGUAGGAGUAGGACAGACAAGCACAGUCAGACAAACAUACAGAAAUACAGACACAGACAUACAGACACAGACAGACAGCAGUGGAGUUAUUAACUCUCUUAACCAACCUGAGAUGGGAGGGGAGAGUUGACAUCACAGUCACAGGUGAAAGGGUUCUUGUUACCAGUGGACCUGGGGCUGUCCAAUGGGAAGUGAUUGAUGGGAGUAUUUAGCCUAAUGCUCUGCUCUAAAGAGAAUGUUCCCCUGGUCCUGGAUCAGCUGUCCCUAACAGAGUCACACUAUGUCAGAACAAAUAAGAUAGCAAAUUAGAUACUGGAGCCACAUUUCUGAGUAUGAAAUGUUCUGCUAACUGUGCUAGAGCAAGGCUAGCAGGCCCCUGGGUUGGGGACGUGUAGGCUAAAUGCAGCGUCCAUUGAGGAGCGUAACAGGGACAUAUUCAUAGUAAAAUCAAUAAAUGGAGAUUGAGAUGCUGGACAUUGAAAUGGACGCCUGGAAAUUAUCGUGACCUUGGGAGCCCCUUCCCCCUUAGCCAGACCUGGCAAACAAUCAUGUUUAUGCAGAAUGGAGGUCACAGGUGUUGGCUCAAAUUGUUUUUCCUUUAAUAAGUCACUGGUGAGUUCACAAUGAAAAAGGUAUUGAGCUUAGCAUCUAGGUGCCUGAGUGUCAUAGGUGAUUAGUGAGGUGCUUAUGGCCCUUGCACCACUUUGACCUCCUUGCUUUUUUAGUGUUGUGAAUAUUCCAAAGUGAAAAUGAUAUGACAGAAGAGAAAAGUUGAUUAUGUUAAAUACUAUUUUAUUUCUAUCCUCGUCCUCCCCUUCGCCGUUUCUGUCCUCCUCCUCUCUCUUCCUCUCCUCCCCUCUCUCUUUCUCACAUCUCUCUUUCUCUCCUCCCCCUUUCUCUUUCUCUCUUCCUCCUCACCCUCUCUCUUUCUAUACCCUGAUGAAGACAGCUUGAGUGUCGAAAUGUAGGUUAUAAAAUGAUUGUAUCUGAGGUCCUAGAGUGUGCGACUCCUUUUCUUUUUUUCUCUCCUUGUCUAAAUACUAUUUUCCCCGUAUUCUGAAUUGUUUUGUGUAGUCUGUGAUUUAUUUUAAGUUACUACAUUGACAUCGACUGAUAAAACACAAAGCUAGCUGUAGCAUCAGCUUUGUGGUUUAUCAAGGUGAUAAGUAUAUUGUUCUUGUGCUAUUUUAUGUAUUUCCGUGUAUGUAGGUGUGCGUGUAAGUGUGUGUGAGGAAGUGAGUGUGUUUGUGUGGGUGUGUGAGUGUUUUUUCCAGGCAGUGCUAGCUAACAUGUGAGAUUCUGUGCCGCAGUAGAGUUGUGCUUCUCAGAACGCCAGCCGUGCUGCAGCUCCGAGGGCUGAGCCGAGCUUGAGCCCCAGCGGUCCUCUAUCUUAUGACUGGCAGGCGACCACUCAACCCCUGCAGCUGCAUUGCUUUGGUGCCUGCCCUGCCUAGUGCAAUGCAAUCAGAGCUAGAGAUCCCACUCUGAGAGAAGAGUGAGGGAGGAACAGAGAGAGCAGUGUCACCAGUGAGAGCGCUGUGGUGUCAUGGGAGAUGGACGUGACUGCGUGGUGACUAAAUAAUAAAUGUGCCAUAUCAGGUUUCGCAUGGAGCCAGGGCCAUGGCUGUUGACGGCCAGAGCGAGGUGAGGGAGGAGGGGAGGGUACGAGAUAUGUCUGUGUGGGAUGCAGUGAUUUCCAUG